This is a long non-coding RNA of Trifolium pratense (red clover), 1165 nucleotides long. RefSeq lists it as uncharacterized. The record is from RefSeq and is a predicted model, not a curated record. NCBI's taxonomy places the organism in Eukaryota, Viridiplantae, Streptophyta, Magnoliopsida, Fabales, Fabaceae. The transcript has 2 exons.
GACCAAGAAAUUCAAUAUGAAAGUGUUUCCCAAGGUGAUAGAAUGUUUCCCUAACCCUAGAGUCUUCCCAAGAUGAAAUCUCUCAACCCUAGCCUUUUUGUUAGCCUUUGAAACCCUAAAAUCCCCUUAAAAAAGUCAGAAAACGCAUAACAUAUAUAUAGGCCCGCAGACACUACACCUGGGCGCAGCCUCCCACGCCUGGGCGUGAGCAACCUGAGUUCAGCCCAGUUUUUCACGCUUGGGCGCCAACUCCCACGCCUGGGCGUGAGCAGGCAGAGACUACCAAAACAUGAUUUUCUGAUUUUUACAUUAUUUCAAGGCAAUAUUCAACACAUGGAAACAUGGAAACAUUCAGUUGUUUCAGCAAUUCACAUAUAUGCAAAAAGUGGUUACUUUAGUAUAUCGUUUUUUUUAUCUGAAUUACACAUGCCUUCCAAAACUCAGAAGCAUUUAGUUUAAUGUUUUUCUUCAGAAAAACUGAAUGGUUGUGCAGUUAAUAAUGUGUCUCUAAUCUUAUUUAUUCUAAAGUUGUUAUCAUGGAUUCAGACAUUGAUGACAUUUUCAACCCUGAAGGUUACUUACCAUGGAUGGGAUUGGGAAGUGCUUUUACUGAUACAUGUACUUUCUGAGUAUAAUAACAAAGGUGCUGGUGCUGAUACAUCAAAGAAAGAGAGUUAAAUGGCCUGGUGUUAAGACUAUUAAAGCUACUGAAGCAGCUGCUUAUUACCCUGGAAAAUUCUUUGAGCUUGCUAACUCAUCUGAUAAGGAUUUUUGGAUUGUGAAAUCUGAGGUUCGUUAUGCACUUUGGUCCUUUGGAUGCUAAAAGCCUAAUACUAAUCCUCUUGAUCCUACUGGUGGUCAUGAAGCUGGAGCCGGAGCUGGAGCAACGAAUAGUGGUUUUGUUAACAAAGGUAAUAUUUGGCUUCAAGUGAUUCUUUUGGUUGGGAUAUUUUCACUAUCAUCAUCUUCAUUCAACUUGUUCUCACAGUAAUAGAACUGUAUAGAAAGAUUCAUUUAGGAGAUACCUCAUUGUUUGAAACAUAGUGAGGGUCUGAGAUAAAAGAAAUGGCAAAACCUCAAACCAUAGUGAGGGUCUGGGACAACCCCAUUUGUGUUGUAGACAUCUCGAUUAGACACAAUGUUCACAAUGUUAAUAGUCCCAAAA